AACGAACGCUGGCGGCGUGCCUAACACAUGCAAGUCGAACGAGAAUUUUCCUUUCGGGGAAAUAGUAAAGUGGCGCAAGGGUGAGUAACACGUGAAUAAUCUGCCUACGAAUUCGGGAUAACUCGGCGAAAGCUGUGCUAAUACCGGAUAAGACCACGUAUCUUAUGUUACGUGGCUAAAGGAGUCUCAAACUCCGUUUGUAGAUGAGUUCGCGGACCAUUAGCUUGUUGGUGGGAUAACAGCCCACCAAGGCGACGAUGGUUAGCCGGCCUGAGAGGAUGAUCAGCCACACUGGGACUGAGACACGGCCCCAGACUCCUACGGGAGGCAGCAGUGGGGAAUUUUCCGCAAUGGGCGCAAGCCUGACGGAGCAAUACCGCGUGGAGGACG
RNAcentral lists this ribosomal RNA (390 nucleotides) under uncultured Nitrospina sp. RNAcentral describes it as "bacterial SSU rRNA". It matches the Rfam family "Bacterial small subunit ribosomal RNA", at positions 29 to 410 of the family's 1533-position model. Lineage: Bacteria; Pseudomonadati; Nitrospinota; Nitrospinia; Nitrospinales; Nitrospinaceae. The record is from RNAcentral.